RNAcentral lists this ribosomal RNA (253 nucleotides) under uncultured bacterium. Its description in RNAcentral is "partial 16S ribosomal RNA". It matches the Rfam family "Bacterial small subunit ribosomal RNA", at positions 524 to 776 of the family's 1533-position model. The record is from RNAcentral.
UACGUAGGGUGCGAGCGUUAAUCGGAAUUACUGGGCGUAAAGUGUGCGCAGGCGGCACCGCAAGUCGAGUGUGAAAGCCCCGGGCUUAACUUGGGAAUUGCGCUUGAAACUAUGGUGCUGGAGUGUGGCAGAGGAAGGUGGAAUUCCACGUGUAGCGGUGAAAUGCGUAGAGAUGUGGAGGAACACCGAUGGCGAAGGCAGCCUUCUGGGCCAACACUGACGCUCAUGCACGAAAGCGUGGGGAGCAAACAGG